This 2951-nucleotide long non-coding RNA is filed under the name Aquilegia coerulea. Its description in RNAcentral is "long non-coding RNA (ACOE_LNC000860)". The record is from RNAcentral. Lineage: Eukaryota; Viridiplantae; Streptophyta; Magnoliopsida; Ranunculales; Ranunculaceae.
AACCUCGCUUGCCAACCAAAAAAAAAAAAAAAAAACCUUAAGUUAUCCUAAAAAUCAAGGGUUACAGCACCUCAAAUUUUGUAGAGUGUACCGAAAACCAUAAGACCUUUUAUUAACGACACAACAUGAUUAGUUCCAUAUCAACAUGAUUAGUUCUAUAUUUCUAUAAAAAAAAAUUGGGAAGUUCUUAUGGUUGGUUCCGUUGCUGAAAUUGGGAAGGCCUAUGGUGUAAUAUUUUGAUAAUUAUAUAACAUGAUCAGAUUUGUUUAUGUACAAAGGAAUUGGGAAAAUAAGGUAAUGUCAUUCAACACAACUGGUUCAGUUGUCCGAAGAUUGAUAACGGAAAAAUCAUUUUGGAAGAAAAGAGAAAACUGGAGUCACCUAUGCAUAGCUGCAUUCAACGCAACUGGCUCUGUUCUCUCUACACACCUUUCCAUAGCUUCAACUUCAUGAAGAUAAACUUCCUCUGAAGACUACCCCUUAUUAACUGAAACAAAAUGCAAAGAAUGCAAAAAGUAAGACUAAAAAAACAAAAGACUCGUCACUGUGCAACUAAAAGAAAUAGUUGUUAAUGGAUAAUAUGAGCAACUAAAAGAAACAAUUCUGUGCUAGUAUUUAUAUUUAUAAUGAAGAAUUUCUUCAAACAUUUGAAUGUUUAGUGUUGUUGAGUGACUACAAUAUAAAUUUAGUAAUAACUAUCCAAGACUACCAAAAUUCAUUUAGUCUCACACAGAAUAGUGUAUUUUAUAUUAGACUUCCAUAAUCAAUUGUAUAGGGACAAUACCUAACAACUUACAACUAAAGCCUUAAGCGACAUGACUACUAUGACCUAUCAUAAUUUGGGCAUCAAUGGUGGAAAAUACUUGAUUAUAAGCUUAAACCAAUCUGACAACUGAAUAUUACUUCCUUACACCUUGGUAAAACUUAUAUCCAAUAGAGCUAAACAGUCUGCAGUCAUAAAUAAAAAUUAUGAGGAUGGCAUAUUCUUGUCCAAAUAAUGAUGAAAAUGAUAAAACUAACUUAAUUCACUGUAUUGAUUGGUAGCUAAUUACAAAAUAGUCCAGAUAAAUUUCAGAAUGCGUACAGGAAGACAUGAAUGUUUAAUAGUAACAUUAAGAGAACUCUUUAACUGACAUGAAUGAAUACUUAUUUCUAUGCAAAGUAAGAUUGUUAUAUUUCCAUCUAUCAAGAUAUCAGACAUGCAACAUAGAUAUCUCAAGUGUGGUUUGGCUGAGUGAAACAUAAUUUUUUGAUUGGUCAGGCUACAUAGUUCAACAUUUUUAACUGAGGAGUAUUUGCUUGCUGACAUGAGGGUACAUUUUGUUCACCUUAUUCUGAAAAGAGAGAGAGAGUAGGAAAAGUUUGAAGGUUAAACAAAAAAAAUCAUUAAGAGUAGAGAGAAAGAGAUGGGUUUAAUGUAAGCUACCCCAUUGAAACUUCAAGGAGUCCUAAAUGACUCAUAUCCACGAUAUCCCACUGAUGUAGCCUAAAUCCUAAUCCCAUUGACCAAUGUGUUUGAACUGGUGUAAGUUAGAGGUAAUGGGAUACCUUUAAUGACAUUAACUAUGUCAGUACUUGGGACUCGUUGAUUUAUGUAUAUCCCACUGAUUAUUACAAAUACUCUGUAAAAUUUUCUCAUCCCUAUUGAUAUGAAGCCCCUGUAAAGUAGGAUCAUCAAUAAGUGAUUUUGUUGGUACCAAUGGAUCUGUCCAAAAUGAAAUUUGAUUCCCACUCCCGAUUUUCCAAUGCAUACCUCCCUUCAAAGCCUCUAUUCCUGUUAUAAUUAUUUUUCAGCCCCAUGAUUGUCCUUGUUUGAAUUCAGCUUGAAGUAUAUCUUCAUUUUUAUGGUAUUCUUUUCCAGCCACAUGAUUAUUCUUGCUAAUAAAAGAUUUGGGUUUGAGUGAAGUCUCCAAGCUAGCUUCCCCAUAAAUGCUAAGUUUAUAAGUCUCUAGCCUUUUAAACCCAUACCCCCAUAAAUCUUUGCUGCUGUAACUGAAUUCAAGUUACAGUGAUGCAUCCUACAUAAGUAGUGCAUCUUACAGUAAUGCCUCUUUUCCAAACUUUCAUAUAGAAGUAGUGCAUUUACAAAAGACCCAAAAGAAAAAAAUAAAAGAGACUUCCACCAAUGGUGUUUUUUGGAAAAAAAAAUUCUGUAAAACAUAAGAUUCCACAUAACCAAAAUGUUAAGGAUUCAAUUGGAAAAAUUAUUCCCUUUCAUAAAAUCUUGAUGAAUUAUACUAAAAGAGUAAAGUAAAUUGUGAUGAAUAGAGGAAUAGUUUAAAAUCUAAAAAUUGCUUAAAAAGAAAAGUCUAAGCACAAUUCCAGCCACAACAGGGAAACAUAUGCAAGAAUUAAUUCAUUUUGGUGGAGUUGAUUAAAACAGAGUUGGUUGAAAUGAUUUGAUAGAAAGUUGAUCACUAAGCACAGUAAAGACAGGAAAUGAGAUGAAGACCAUAGAAAGUUACCUAAGAAAGUUUUGAGAGAAGCUAUAAUUGUUGAAAAAAAAAGUGAACCUGCAAGAGAAGAGCAGAUUUGAUGAAAAGUGUGAGUGUACUUCAUUCCUUCAAUGUCGACACUACUUAUGCUUCAGUAAAAGUGCUUCAAUAUAUGUGAGUCUAACCAAGAUUAUUAACAUCAACUGUGACACUAUUUCAAUUUAAAUUAUCAAGAAAUGACACUAUUUUGCAUAAUUUAAAUUUUGUAAAGCUUUUUCUUAACUAAUUUUUGAUACUGGAUCAUAUACCUGUAAGUCUAGCAAUAGAAUAAGCAAAAGUUACGUUCCUGUCCACCUCAACAGUUGGUUUUGGAGUUGCUACUCCAACUGAUAUAGUUUGAAUCACAUUUAAAUCUGCAGAAUUGGAAUCAAGAGUGGGAUUAGAGGGUCUACUACCAGCAAAAAAAGAAGCUUUGGAUUUAAAUUUAAUUGAGCAUUAGCACACCUGAAUGAAUAU